GAGUUUGAUUCUGGCUCAGGACGAACGCUGGCGGCGUGCUUAACACAUGCAAGUCGAACGAAAAGACGGAAAGAGCUUGCUCUUUUCAGAAUUGAGUGGCAAACGGGUGAGUAACACGUAAACAACCUGCCUUCAGGAUGGGGACAACAGACGGAAACGACUGCUAAUACCGAAUAAGUUCCAAGAGCCGCAUGGCCCAUGGAAGAAAAGGUGGCCUCUACCUGUAAGCUAUCGCCUGAAGAGGGGUUUGCGUCUGAUUAGCUGGUUGGAGGGGUAACGGCCCACCAAGGCGACGAUCAGUAGCCGGUCUGAGAGGAUGAACGGCCACACUGGAACUGAGACACGGUCCAGACUCCUACGGGAGGCAGCAGUGGGGAAUCUUCCGCAAUGGGCGAAAGCCUGACGGAGCAACGCCGCGUGAGUGAUGACGGCCUUCGGGUUGUAAAACUCUGUGAUCCGGGACGAAAAGGCAGAGUGCGAAGAACAAACUGCAUGGACGGUGCCG
Molecule: ribosomal RNA, 505 nt
Filed under: Dialister invisus
Lineage: Bacteria; Bacillati; Bacillota; Negativicutes; Veillonellales; Veillonellaceae
Description: bacterial SSU rRNA
Rfam family: Bacterial small subunit ribosomal RNA
Source: RNAcentral